UUAUGUCCAAUGGUAAACUUAUCAGGU
Molecule: non-coding RNA, 27 nt
Filed under: Rattus norvegicus (Norway rat)
Lineage: Eukaryota; Metazoa; Chordata; Mammalia; Rodentia; Muridae
Source: RNAcentral